RNAcentral lists this transfer RNA (74 nucleotides) under Planctomycetota bacterium. RNAcentral's name for it is "Planctomycetes bacterium tRNA-His". It matches the Rfam family "tRNA". From Rfam's summary of the family: Transfer RNA (tRNA) molecules are approximately 80 nucleotides in length. Their secondary structure includes four short double-helical elements and three loops (D, anti-codon, and T loops). The record is from RNAcentral. Lineage: Bacteria; Pseudomonadati; Planctomycetota.
GUGGGUGUAGCUCAGUUGGUUAGAGCGUCGGAUUGUGGCUCCGAAAGUCGGGGGUUCAAGUCCCCUCACUCACC